Molecule: transfer RNA, 73 nt
Filed under: Felis catus (domestic cat)
Lineage: Eukaryota; Metazoa; Chordata; Mammalia; Carnivora; Felidae
Rfam family: tRNA
About the family: Transfer RNA (tRNA) molecules are approximately 80 nucleotides in length.
Source: Rfam by way of RNAcentral
GCCUGGUUGGCUCAGUCAGUAGAGCACGUGACUCUUGAUCUCAGGGUUGUAAGUUCAAGUCCCACAUUGGGCA